Heterocephalus glaber (naked mole-rat) is the source of this 4256-nucleotide non-coding RNA. The record is from RefSeq and is a predicted model, not a curated record. NCBI's taxonomy places the organism in Eukaryota, Metazoa, Chordata, Mammalia, Rodentia, Bathyergidae.
UUGAGGAGAGGAAAUAGGGAGUUAAUUAUUCCAGCAGUAUUGCUUCCUUUCUCUGCCUGCCGUCACCAGAGACAUAUAUUCCUGCUAUCUCCUCUGAGAACUCUGAUAGCUGAUUUUCGGUCCUGUCCUUUAACUCUGCCUUUACUGACCAAAUGACUUCACUGUUACUAACCACCCCUCCCCCAUCCACAUCCGGAACGCGGUCUCGAACCUGUGCUGCCCCCUGGUGGUCGGGGCUGUGACACCCGGCCGAGGCUCAGGAGGGGGAGGAACAAGGGAGGCGUUCCCGAGGGCCUCUCCUCCAGACCCGGUUACAUUCCCGGCUCUUCUCUCCAGCGUCUAGCCAUGUUGUUUAGCAGUGAGGAGGUAUCAGGAUGUAAAACUAACAAGGGCUUCAGUUGAGGGCUGAGGAGAUACCGGCAGGCAGAACAAUGCAACGGACCUUGGGCACCACUGGCUUCUGGAGCAGCGUUGGUGACUGGAAACAUUGACGUCUGAUGGCCUCAUGGAGCUCCUCUGGCAGAACCCACAUGUAUAUGAAAGGCAUCUUUCCAGCAACUCAUAUCUGAACAUGCUCUUGAGAAAUCUUCAACUAGCUUAGUUUGGAGGUAUCACGGUGAAGUGGGAAAAUGCCAGAAAGGAAACAACAGUCCAGAAUCCUAGUCCAGCUCUUCUAGGGAGUCACUGCAGGACUUCGAGCAAGUUGUUAAAUCUUUCCAGAUUUAGUUUCCUUAUUUACACAAUGAGUAAAGAUAACAGGCUAUGAUUCUAUACUUCUAAGGAUAGUUGGUAUCACGUGCCUCACUGGCUUAGAAAUUGGGAUGGAAGGGCCAGGGAUUUAGCUCAGUGGUUUUGCCGCCUGCUGCGCAAGGGCAAGGACCCAAGUUUGAUCCCCAGUACCAAAAAAAAAAAAGAAAGAAAGAAAUUGGGAUGGAAGUAUUCAGUUACAAAAAAGCAUAUUUACUAAAGUUCUUGGGCACAUAUUAUUGAGGAAAGGGUUUCAGUUUGACCCUCAUUUACCUUGGAUGUUAAGAAAGAUGACUACAGAGAGGCAUCCUUUACAUUUAAAAAAUUUAGGAUGGUAAGGAUGGCACAUAUAAAGAAUAUACGUUUGCCGGGGAUUUAGCUCAGUGGGUCCGCCACCUGCCUCGAAAGCGCAAGGUCCCGAGUUCGAUCCCUGGCCCACACACACAAAAAAGAAUGUAAGUUUUUUCAAUUUUAAGUCAUAUUAAGUGAACUGAAGGGAGAGAGUGUAACAGGAGAGGAUGCAGCUUUCAUUUUGGGGCCAGUCACGGUCAAAACUUGGAAAAACAGAAGUCACCCCAGAAGAGUUUACAUGACAAAGAAGACCCCAGCUGCAAGGAAUCCGGGAAGGUGAGAUGUACAACAAAAUGUGGAAAUGAGCAGAAAUUUGAUCAUUGUAAACAAGAAGUUUGUGGAUGUGAUUGGAGGUUUCAGUCAGUUGUUUGAGCCCUCAGAUAGGACUGAAGAUGAGGUGUCUACUCUGCCUGGUGCCUCCCUUCUCCCACUUUUCAAAAAUGUGCUAAACUCACUCUUCCUGUCACUUCCUCGUUCUUCUCUGUCGCUAUCCACUACCACACCCUGUCUACUCACCCAUUGCUGCCCAUAGCUGUCCUCCAGGUUAUUGAAGAAUUGAUCAUCCCACUUCAGGCGGAUGCCCAGCAGAUGGAAAGGUGUAAAGCCAUUCUCAGCCAUGACCACGAAAUAGGUGAAGAAUCCAGCUAGAGCCUGGAUCAUCCCUACAAGUGGCAGAGUCAGGACAGCCAUAGAAGGUACCCCAAAGGCAGCCCAUGUAGGGGGCCAAGGCUGGGCCCCGCCUCUGUUGGGCUGGUGUGUGUCUGCACAGAGUGAAGAUUCUUGCCUUCAACCAUCUCAUCCCUCAUCCAAGGGACUUGUCGUCAAGCUCUGACAUUAAUUUCUAAACUCCAACCCACUGUCAUCUUUGAGUCACAUCAUCUUAAAACUGUAAGAGCUAGACGGCUACUUUUCCUCUGAUAUUUGGACAUUUAUCAGGUUUUAGCCUCUCAUCACAUCUCUGCUAUCUACCCUUUGCCUCUCUCUUAGAUAAAAUUUCUAUCUCCCAUGCCUGGGCCACGAUGAUGUUAAUGUUUGUCUACUAACCACAGAGUUGUGCGUGGUGUCAGUACCUGUGGACAUAGAUCCUCACAAUUCUGAACUGUUGUCUAUGUUUCAUGAAUGAGUACUGAAACACAUAUACAAAAGCCAGUCAUUGUCCAGGAUCAUACAGUUAGGAAGUGGUAAAAUUAGGAUUGAAACAUAGGUCUGAUUCCUAAGUCUGUUGUUUUGGGUUUUUUUUGGUACCGGGGAUUGAACUCGGGUCCCUACGCUUGCAUAGCAGGCGGCGAAACCACUGAGCUAAAUCCCCGGCCCCCUAAGUCUGUUUUUUCUACACAAUUGCUUUUCUAAAUGUUGCAACGACCUCCUUGUUCACAGUCUCUUCCCUGUCCAUCCCUCACUCUACCCCCUGAAACACUCCACUGUACCUGGCAACUCAUGAACAAAGGCCUCUAAUGGCACUCAAAUGUCUUUCUAGGCUGGACCCAAUAUAAAUGCUAUCUAUAUCUACAGCCUUACUUUCUACUACUUCCUUAUGGAGACCAAGAUGCCACCGAACUGGUCUAUUCACUCCUUUCUAACUAUGCCAUGUGAACUCCCCCUGUGGGACCCACACCUCUCUAUAUACAGUACUUAGUUUAAGCUCUAUCCUUCAACACCAAGUUCAAGUUCUCUUUCUCCCAUAAAACCUCUCUGACUGCCCUCAAAAUUGGUGAGCUUGCUUGCUUUGUGCUUGCAUGUUAGGUCUACACUCACUACUUGGCAUGUAGAAAGAUGCUACCAUUUUAGACACAUUUGUUUCGUUUUUACUGAGCUCUAAGUCAAGGGCACCUCAGAGAUCAAUAGCUCUUUGUGUUGCUAAGGCCUAGUGCGUUUUGUGUUUGAGGAAAUAGCUCCCUAUUUCCACACUAAAGUGGCUCAAACGGGCAGCUGUUCCCCUCUCCCUCCCCGCCUCACUGCUCUGUGCUCACCAAUCUGUCCAUAGGCUAUGCCAAUGAGACGGUGAUUCACAAGAUUAUCAGUCUUUGGGUUCCGUGGAUGCCUCUGCAUGAUGUCACUCUCUGGGGACUCAUAAGCCAAGGAGAUAGCAGGUAUCUGGAGGAUAGAGCGAUGGAAUGAUGGAGUCACAAAGUGCAGAAGGAAACUCACAAGUAGCUCCAGCUUUAUCCAACCCCCCAACCAAACUUUAUCUAUUCCUAGUCUAUCUCGCAGGAGCUCCCAGAGCCACAUCCCAGCCUGGUCCUCACCAUGUCUGUGCCCAGGUCAAUGCAGAGGAUAGUGAUGGUGCCCAGAGGCAAGGGGAUGCUGAGGAUGAUGAACAGCAGGAAGGGGGUGAUCUCAGGAAUGUUGCUGGUCAGGGUGUAGGCGAUGGAUUUCUUCAGGUUGUCAAAGAUGAGGCGACCUGCAAAGGAAGGCCAACCUUCUGUGAGGAGCACCGGAAGGUACCGCUCACCAACGAGCUCCUGGACAGAGAGACCACUGCAAAGAACUAUCAUGGUCCAUGAAAAGGCUGGAAGUCCCAGACAUUGUCAGUCCUGAUUUUGUCUCCAAAUUGUGUGAUGAUUAAUUAAAGCCACGAUUUAGUAGCAUGUCCUGACUGUACUCUUUGUUCUUGGACUCAAAUGGCUAAUGUUAUCUGAUCUCUGAAAAUUUAGCAGAGUUAGACCUAGCCAAUGCUGAGAAGUCUGAGAAUACCAGUAUUAAAGCCUUUACAAGAUUGAACCUGAAGUGGAAAGAGCCUGGGCUUGGGACAGACUUAGGUUUGAAUCUCACUUUCUGCCAUAACCAGCUUGUGACCUUGGGUACUUCUCAUCUCUCUGACCAUCAUUUCUCCUGUGCUGCAAGAUUGCUGAGUCCUUCCCUGGCUGCCUUUUCAAAGACUGUAAUCCCUCCCCACCCUCCAUGUUUUAUUUUUUCCAUUGCACUUAACAUAGUUCGCAAUUUGCAUAGUAUGCAGACAGUAGUCUGUCUCUUUUCAUUAGAAAUUCAGUUGUAUGUGGGCAGAAGCUCAUGUGUUUUUUUCUCCCACCAUUGUAUUCCCAGUAUCUAGAAUAGUGCAUUGCAUGCACAGCCAGUGCUUAAAAGAAUUUUUUAAUUGAAUGGCUAUUUAAAGGGUUAAGAUGAUAUUAGGUUUCAAUAAAGUGUGACCAUUAUUAUUA